AGAGUUUGAUUCUGGCUCAGAAUGAACGCUGGCAGCGUGGAUUAGGCAUGCAAGUCGAACGGAAAAUCUCGAGAUCAAUUCUUCGGAAAAGUGAUUGAGAUGGAUAGUGGCGAAAGGGUGAGGAACACGUGGGCAAUCUACCUCUUAGUUGGGGACAACCUUGGGAAACUGGGGCUAAUACCGGAUGUGGUAUUCUAUCGCAUGGUAGAUUUAUUAAAGGUGGGGAAUCUUCGGAUCCUGCCGCUAAGAGAGGAGCCCGCGUCCCAUCAGCUUGUUGGUGAGGUAAUGGCUCACCAAGGCUUACGGGUAGCUGGUCUGAGAGGAUGGUCAGCCACACUGGGACUGAGACACUGCCCAGACUCCUACGGGAGGCUGCAGUCGAGAAUCAUUCGCAAUGCACGAAAGUGUGACGAUGCGACGCUGCGUGUAGGGUGACGGCCUUAGGGUUGUAAACUACUGUCAUUUGGGAAAAAUUCUCCGUGUAGUAAUAUUACAUGGAGUUGAUGGUACCAAAAGAGGAAGCCACGGCUAACUCUGUGCCAGCAGCCGCGGUAAUACAGAGGUGGCGAGCGUUGUUCGGAUUUACUGGGCGUAAAGGGUGCGUAGGUGGUUAUGUAUGUCGGAUGUGAAAGCCCAUGGCUCAACCAUGGAAUUGCAUUCGAAACUGCAAAACUUGAGUGUAGGAGAGGAGAGCGGAAUUCUUGGUGUAGCGGUGAAAUGCGUUGAUAUCAAGAAGAACACCGGCGGCGAAGGCGGCUCUCUGGAAUACAACUGACACUGAGGCACGAAAGCUGGGGGAGCGAACAGGAUUAGAUACCCUGGUAGUCCCAGCCGUAAACGGUGCACACUUGGUGUGGGAGGAAUUGACCCCUUCCGUGCCGGAGCUAACGCGUUAAGUGUGCCGCCUGGGGAGUACGGCCGCAAGGCUAAAACUCAAAGAAAUUGACGGGGGCCCGCACAAGCGGAGGAGCAUGUGGCUUAAUUCGAUGCAACGCGAAGAACCUUACCAGGGCUUGACAUAUACCUGCACGCCCCGUGAAAGCGGGGUUUCCUUCGAGGGUGGUAUACAGGUGCUGCAUGGCUGUCGUCAGUCCGUGCCGUGAGGUGUUUGGUUAAGUCCAGUAACGAACGCAACCCUUGUGUUUAGUUGCCACUCUUGGUGUUAAGCUAGGAAGCACUCUAAACAGACUGCCCGUGCAAGCGGGAGGAAGGUGGGGAUGACGUCAAGUCAGUAUGGCCCUUACGCCCUGGGCUGCACACGUGCUACAAUGACAGGUACAAUGGGACGCUAUACCGCGAGGUUGAGCAAAUCCUCAAAACCUGCCUCAGUUCGGAUUGGAGUCUGCAACUCGACUCCAUGAAGUUGGAUUCGCUAGUAAUGCCGUAUCAGCUACGACGGCGUGAAUACGUUCCCGGGCCUUGUACACACCGCCCGUCACAUCAUGAAAGCCGUCUGCACCCGAAGUCGCUGAGCCAAUCUUUCACGAGAAGGCAGGUGCCGAAGGUGUGGGUGGUGAUUGGGAUGAAGUCGUAACAAGGUA
This 1541-nucleotide ribosomal RNA is filed under the name metagenome. Its description in RNAcentral is "bacterial SSU rRNA". It matches the Rfam family "Bacterial small subunit ribosomal RNA". The record is from RNAcentral.